This 447-nucleotide ribosomal RNA is filed under the name uncultured bacterium. RNAcentral's name for it is "bacterial SSU rRNA". It matches the Rfam family "Bacterial small subunit ribosomal RNA", at positions 329 to 793 of the family's 1533-position model. The record is from RNAcentral.
UGCCAGACUCCUACGGGAGGCAGCAGUGGGGAAUAUUGCACAAUGGGGGAAACCCUGAUGCAGCAACGCCGCGUGAGUGAAGAAGUCAUUCGUGAUGUAAAGCUCUAUCAGCAGGGAAGAAAAUGACGGUACCUGAGUAAGAAGCCCCGGCUAACUACGUGCCAGCAGCCGCGGUAAUACGUAGGGGGCAAGCGUUAUCCGGAUUUACUGGGUGUAAAGGGAGCGUAGACGGCAGUGCAAGUCCGGAGUGAAAGCCCGGGGCUCAACCCUGGGACUGCUCUGGAAACUGGAAAGCUGGAGUGCGGGAGGGGCAGGCGGAAUUCCUGGUGUAGCGGUGAAAUGCGUAGAUAUCAGGAGGAACACCGGCGGCGAAGGCGGCCUGCUGGACCGUAACUGACGUUGAGGCUCGAAAGCGUGGGGAGCAAACAGGAUUAGAUACCCCGGUAC